ACAGGUGCUGCAUGGCUGUCGUCAGCUCGUGUCGUGAGAUGUUGGGUUAAGUCCCGUAACCGAGCGCAACCCUUGUCCUUAGUUACCAGCACGUUAAGGUGGGCACUCUAAGGAGACUGCCGGUGACAAACCGGAGGAAGGUGGGGAUGACGUCAAGUCAUCCAUGGCCCUUACGGGCCUGGGCUACACACGUGCUACAAUGGUCGGUACAAAGGGUUGCCAAGCCGCGAGGUGGAGCUAAUCCCAUAAACCGAUCGUAGUCCGGAUCGCAGUCUGCAACUCGACUGCGUGAAGUCGGAAUCGCUAGUAAUCGUGAAUCAGAAUGUCCACGGUGAAUACGUUCCCGGGCCUU
Molecule: ribosomal RNA, 352 nt
Filed under: uncultured Pseudomonas sp.
Lineage: Bacteria; Pseudomonadati; Pseudomonadota; Gammaproteobacteria; Pseudomonadales; Pseudomonadaceae
Description: bacterial SSU rRNA
Rfam family: Bacterial small subunit ribosomal RNA
Source: RNAcentral